Long non-coding RNA from Octopus sinensis (East Asian common octopus), 557 nucleotides. RefSeq lists it as uncharacterized. The record is from RefSeq and is a predicted model, not a curated record. The transcript has 2 exons. NCBI's taxonomy places the organism in Eukaryota, Metazoa, Mollusca, Cephalopoda, Octopoda, Octopodidae.
GGUAAAGGUGAUUAAAGACUUCACUGAUGUUGCAAAUAGUUGCUCAACUGGUUAAUAAUCCGGUAUACACAAUUGAAGCCGUAUUUAAUUAAAAUAGCCAUCUAUAUAUCAUACCUAAUGUAUAUAUACUGUUGAUAGGACAUUAACUGCAGUAUUUGUCCUGAGAUAACAUUGCUUAUGGAUUUUUUGUGUUAAAAGCUCAAAUAUCAGAGAGAGAGAGAAAAAUUCAUCCUAGCAGGGACUAGAAUCAUAAACUUAUUGCAGUGCUCAGGUAAACUACAGCUCAACAAAAAAUGCUAAAAGUUGGGACAGAAACUGGCCAUGGGCCAAAUAAAGAUGGUAACGAAAGCUAUAUGCACAGUACACAGAAUAAAACACAAAAAGAAAGGAUAAGUGAUAUAAACAGUCAUAAAGAGGAAAAGAGUGCUUAGGUAUAUCAGAAGUGUUGUUGAGUUUUGAAGGAUAUGGUAUCCCCAGCGCUAACAACUGACAUGGAUACUUUAUUUCAUGCUGCGACAAUUCUGAGUUUCAGAAAAUAAAAAUGUUUCUGAAAUUUA